AAAACGACUCUCGGCAACGGAUAUCUCGGCUCUCGCAUCGAUGAAGAACGUAGCGGACUGCGAUACUUGGUGUGAAUUGCAGAAUCCCGUGAACCAUCGAGUCUUUGAACGCAAGUUGCGCCCGAAGCCAUUAGGCCGAGGGCACGUCUGCCUGGGCGUCACGC
RNAcentral lists this ribosomal RNA (164 nucleotides) under Gentiana straminea. RNAcentral describes it as "5.8S ribosomal RNA". It matches the Rfam family "5.8S ribosomal RNA". From Rfam's summary of the family: 5.8S ribosomal RNA (5.8S rRNA) is a component of the large subunit of the eukaryotic ribosome. Lineage: Eukaryota; Viridiplantae; Streptophyta; Magnoliopsida; Gentianales; Gentianaceae. The record is from RNAcentral.